This 578-nucleotide ribosomal RNA is filed under the name Mycetocola sp. I14A-00926. RNAcentral's name for it is "bacterial SSU rRNA". It matches the Rfam family "Bacterial small subunit ribosomal RNA", at positions 95 to 687 of the family's 1533-position model. Lineage: Bacteria; Bacillati; Actinomycetota; Actinomycetes; Micrococcales; Microbacteriaceae. The record is from RNAcentral.
GUGGCGAACGGGUGAGUAACACGUGAGUAACCUGCCCUUGACUCUGGGAUAAGCGUUGGAAACGACGUCUAAUACCGGAUACGACCAGCCCUGGCAUCGGGUGUUGGUGGAAAGAAUUUUGGUCAAGGAUGGACUCGCGGCCUAUCAGGUAGUUGGUGAGGUAAUGGCUCACCAAGCCUACGACGGGUAGCCGGCCUGAGAGGGUGACCGGCCACACUGGGACUGAGACACGGCCCAGACUCCUACGGGAGGCAGCAGUGGGGAAUAUUGCACAAUGGGCGAAAGCCUGAUGCAGCAACGCCGCGUGAGGGACGACGGCCUUCGGGUUGUAAACCUCUUUUAGCAGGGAAGAAGCGAAAGUGACGGUACCUGCAGAAAAAGCACCGGCUAACUACGUGCCAGCAGCCGCGGUAAUACGUAGGGUGCAAGCGUUGUCCGGAAUUAUUGGGCGUAAAGAGCUCGUAGGCGGUUUGUCGCGUCUGCUGUGAAAACCCGAGGCUCAACCUCGGGCCUGCAGUGGGUACGGGCAGACUAGAGUGCGGUAGGGGAGAUUGGAAUUCCUGGUGUAGCGGUGGAAU